GUAAGGAAUAUUGGUCAAUGGAGGCAACUCUGAACCAGCCAUGCCGCGUGCAGGAAGACGGCCCUCUGGGUUGUAAACUGCUUUUAUCCGGGAAUAAACCUGCCUUCGUGAAGGUAGCUGAAUGUACCGGAAGAAUAAGGAUCGGCUAACUCCGUGCCAGCAGCCGCGGUAAUACGGAGGAUCCAAGCGUUAUCCGGAUUUAUUGGGUUUAAAGGGUGCGUAGGCGGCCUGUUAAGUCAGGGGUGAAAGACGGUGGCUCAACCAUCGCAGUGCCCUUGAUACUGAUGGGCUUGAAUGGACUAGAGGUAGGCGGAAUGUGACAAGUAGCGGUGAAAUGCAUAGAUAUGUCACAGAACACCAAUUGCGAAGGCAGCUCACUAAGGCGAUACUGACGCUGAGGCACGAAAGCGUGGGGAUCGAACAGGAUUAGAUACCCUUGUAGUCC
Molecule: ribosomal RNA, 445 nt
Filed under: uncultured bacterium
Lineage: Bacteria
Description: partial 16S ribosomal RNA
Rfam family: Bacterial small subunit ribosomal RNA
Source: RNAcentral